This 1343-nucleotide long non-coding RNA is filed under the name Homo sapiens (human). Its description in RNAcentral is "HSALNT0096415". Lineage: Eukaryota; Metazoa; Chordata; Mammalia; Primates; Hominidae. The record is from RNAcentral.
CUGUCUCAGGCAAUGGACUAAUUCAUGGAGUGUACUGUAGUCUGAGCUCCCUGAUCAGCCGCGGGGAGGUGAGGGUAAAGAUGGGUUGGAUCAGACGAGGCAGUUCUGUCUACAGGUUCCCUGGUGGCAGGCACACGCUCCAGCCCUGAAAGAGAAUUCAGUGGGAAAUCAAUAGGUGCCCAGAGAUGUGCCUAGGCAUGGAGCUGGGAAACCUCCUCAGCCUCAAAUUAUAUACAGGGGUAUGAGGGGCAGCCUAAACUCUCAAUCCAGGAGACGAUGUGCUCCAGAUGCCUGGAGAUCUGCCUGUGUGGACAAGAGAGAGCUCCCCUGCACCAGGAUCACUGCAUAGGUAGAGUGGAGCAGCUCAGGCUGAUGUUCCAUCUGGCACUCUCAUGCUUGGAGAUCUGCCAGGGCAUGGAGCAAAGAGGGCUCCCCCAUACCAAGAUCUCUGCACAAGAAGAGUGAGAUGACUUAGGCUGCUGAACCAGAAUUGGUUUUAAAUUCCCCAUUGUCAGUUGGAAAACUACAAAGAUGCAUGCCAUUUUCAGGAUGUACCUGGGAGCUACAUUUUAGUGUCAUCAAUUUUCAUCACUUAAUCAAGGCCACAAGCAACCCUGAUGGUGGGGCGGAUGCUGGCACAACUUGUCAGAGGCUGGCAGCUGGUGUGCAGACCAAAGCCUAGUGAACCUGGGGCCUAAAUGUCAACGUGUGGCUAUCAGGACAGGAAUAAAGGCAUUGAUGUAACACUGGUUUUUGUUUUGUGUGUGUGUUUUUCUGAAGGGCAAGGUGGAUAUACUAAAAAAUGAAUUUUAAAAACAUUAAGCCCUAAUCCCACCUUCAGAACAAGUGGCUUUUCAAAAUAACUAAAAGGGUAGAACUGGAAUGUUUCUAACACAAAGAAAUGAUAAAUGCUUGAGGCGAUAGACAUCCCAAAUACCCUGAUUUGAUCAUGACAAUAUUGUAUGUUUGUAUCAAUAUUUCACAUGUACUCCAUAAAUAUAUGCAACUAUUAUGUAUCCAUAAUAAUUAAAGAUAAAUCAAUAUUUUAAAGUUCCUCAUUUGUUUUAGAUCCUUCGUUUAAAAAAACUGAGAAAAAAGGAGUUGCUUUUUUUCCCUCCUGGCUAGUGUAAAAACUAACACACAUUUACCUUUCAAUUAAAAUCUCAAGACCCUUUGCAUGUGGUACAUGCACCAAAUGCAUACAUUAGAACUGAAUUAUGGAAAAACACAAGAGAAUGACAUUGAUUUAUGCACUUCCAUUAGAUAGAGUGUUAGUUAACAAUUCAAAACAAACAGAUACCUUAAGUCUGUCAAGAAAAGAGCAUUUUAGUUGAAGAGCAAAG